GAACCAGUUAGGCUAUUGCUCAGUAUCUGGUCUCCGAUUGCUCGUGUCUAUUGUGGAAACGACGCCGUAUUGAUGAUAAAAAUAUCACGUAAUAGAAAUCAUCUACUCUCUUUCUCCAGACACUUUCAUAAUCAUUUCCUCGUGUUAACUCUCUCUCCGGCUUUGUUUCUCGUUCUAUAGUACGUCCUCCUCUUGUUUUUCUCUGCUUUUUCCUUAUUUAGCUGGAUUCACUAGAGAAACUUCGAAUUUUGUUACAGUUUUGCACUUUUUGUGGAUUUUUUCUUCGUUUGUUCAGUUUUACUUAAAUUAUUUUUCUUCUUUGCUGUCUGAUAUGUGAAAAAUCUAUUCGAUUACUUUUGAGUGACUUUGAUCUACUUCAGAAGCUAAAUGUUUUCUUUUUCGUCGAUUUUUGUUCUGUUCGAGUCUAUUCCAGUUUUGUGUCUCGAUUUUACAGUACCGUUGUUCAUAUUUUCAAUUGAUUCUUCUUUAGAUUAGCUCGACCUAGCUAAGAAAAUUCAAAUUUUGCUACAUUUUUCCUUCUUUGUGGAUUUCUUUGUCUGUUUCUUCAGUUUCAUUUAAGGCCUUGUAUCUUCUUUUUGUUUGAUAUGCGAAAAUUUUGUUGGGUUAUUCUUCAUUCACCUUGAUUUACUUCAGAAGCUUUUAUUUUUGCUCAAUGUGUGUUUCUCUGCUCGAUUUCUGCUUCUAAUGUUUCACAAGGAGUACAAUUGGUUCUUGUCAGUAUUUUCGGAGAUUUUUUGGCUCAGUUGGGAUGUCUUAUACUCCCGUUGGCAUUUGUACUUUUGGCUUUCAACAUUUUAUCUUUAUCUAGUUAAGAAGCUCAAUUUUUUUCUCAAUCUUUGCUCUACUGUGUAUUUCUUUUUCUUUUUUUCUGUAGUUUUAGUUUAGGUAUGUUGUUAUCUUUAUACUUCUGUUGCCUUUUCUUACUAUAAAUUAUUCUCCACUUAAUUAUGCACAAGCUCAAUUGAUUCCAAUAAAUAAGGUUUAGAGUCUUCAAAGCGGUAAUGUAAAUCAUUAUUUUUUUUCUUUAACAUGGCUAUGUAUCCACGUUCAACUGUAAUUUGCAAUCCACUGCCCAGAACCUAUAAAAGUUUACUCGCUGGCUAGCCGACCAUACCCACAUCCGCCUUUCAAUUUGGAAUAGAUCUCUCCCAAUCUAGCUUCUUUACUUUGCAAAUGGAACUUUAGGAUAUUCUUUAUUGGAUGAGUGACUUCUUUUAAAGGAUUCAGAUUAAUUGAAAAUUUGAUUUCAGUAGCUUAUAUUAUUUAGUUGGCCAACAUUUUUCUUCAUUUGUCAUGUUAACUCAUAACCAACUUAUGUUCGAUUGGAUGUAUAAUUUAUAGGGUUUAUAUUAUGAUGCAUUUUACGGACAUCUUCGAUUCAGUGAGGAUCAUUUUCACCAAAUUGAAGCAGCAGUAAAAAACUGAUAGACGUAUGAUUAUUUUUAUUCUCUAAAUUUUGCUUUUAAGAUAUUUUAGUGAUGGCUCUCGGUUUAGUUCUAAUUAACAUAUUGUUGCUGUGAUUAUGUUGUUUAAAACCAGCAACAAUUAAAAAAAAAAAAAAAAUUUGGUCGCCAUGCAGUCGCAUGGCCAUAUGUCGAGACCUUGGGUGAACCAUGCGACCGCAUGGUAAUGGUUUUGUACCAUGCGGUCACAUGAUAUAAUUUUUUGGUCGUUGGAAGUUGCUUUCUCCCGCUGUAAAUUUAAAUUUGGUGACUUUAGGCUUAUAGUUUGGUACCAUUUCGUGAAUGUGGUGUAUGCCUAUAUAUAUAUUGGAUCCAUGUUGAAGGUAAAAACAUCACAAAAACAUCAAUGUUUCAUAUUACUUCCAAAAUCAAAAAUCAAAGUCUUUUAAAAAUCAUAUUCAUAUUCAUCCCUUGUGUUCUUCAAGUUCUCUAGGAUUUGCAAUUGUGUUUUGGUGUUUCAAUUCUUACAAGGCUUGUUAUAAUCCUACAAAUCAUUUGUCAACAACCUUCGAAGCAUCUCAAAUUCAUAGGAGAAGUGUCAAAUAUCGUUUGAGGACAACGAUCUUGUGUUCAAGCCAUUCAUUAAUACAAAUUCGUCAUUGUCUAGUUCUUGUCAUUGCCGGUUCAUGUUUUGUGACUUCUAUUUCAACCCGGUAAAAUUCUCCAACAAUCUCAAACAAUAUUUGUGCAAUGAAAAGUGAGACAACGUUGGCGACAAUCAAACUCAUAAAUCAAGACUUGGUGUAGUUAGAUCGGUUCGACAGAACAAACUAUACUCGAUGGAAAGAUAAAUUAAAGUUUCUUCUUACUGUACUAAAGAUCUUCUACAUCCUCGAUCCGAAAUUGGCGCCACUACCGGAACCAACAAAAGGAGAGACCGAAGCGGUGAGAAAUGAAAGACAAAAGCGCCAAGAAGACGAGUUGAUAUGCCGCGGUCACAUUCUCAACGCAUUAUCGGAUUGUUUGUAUGACUUAUAUACAAACACAAUUUCGGCAAAGAAAAUUUGGGAUGCGCUCUAAAGUAAGUAAAAAGCGGAAGAAGACCGUACAAAUAAAUUUUUAAUUUAUAAAUACUUCAACUUUAAAUUUUUAGAGAGUAGUUCCUUUCUUCCCCAAAUACAUGAAACGCAAAUAAUUGUCAAUAAGUUGAAGGCGGUGAAAAUUGAAAUACUAGAGACUUUUCAAGUGGGGGCUAUAAUUGCCAAACUUCUCGGAACUUGGAAAGGAUACCGGAAGAAGAUAAUGCAUAGUUCCGAAAAUUAUUCCUUGGAACAAUUGCAAAAACAUCUUCGGAUUGAGGAAGGGUCGAGAAUGUGUGAUAAAAGUGAUUCUCAUGAGGGCACUUCCAAAGUAAAUGCUGUAGAAAAAUUCGAACCGCCAACAAAAUUCAACAAAAGGUUCGGAUGCUUUGUUUGUGGGAAAUCUAGACACUACGCAAAAUAUUGUAGACACCAAAAACACAACUCCGAGAGCAAAGUGAAUUCCAUCCAACAAGACAAAAUUGUGGCUACCGUGAGUGAAAUAAAUGCAAUUAAGGGAAAGGAUCCCGACUGGUGGUAUGAUACUUGUGUCACGGUGCAUGUAUCAUAUGACAAAUUUUUGUUCAAAACAUACAAUGAAGUGGAUGGAGACCAAGAGAUCCAAAUGGGUAACGAGGUGCGGUCCAAAGUAAUUGGAAAAGGAAGUGUAGAAAUCAUCUUCACUUUUGGAAAAAUGUUACUCUCACAAAUGUACUACAUGUUCCGGAUAUGAAUAGGAACUUAGUGAGUGGAAAUCUUUUGGAAAAAUCGGGCAUUAAAAGUGUCUUUGAGUCCGAUAAACUUGUAUUAUCAUUUAAAGAAAAAUUUGUUGGAAAGGGCUAUUCAUGUAAAGGAAUGGUCAAAUUUUGUACUAUUGACAAUGAAAUAAAUAAUGUUAAUUUUGCUUACAUGA
Molecule: long non-coding RNA, 3416 nt
Filed under: Olea europaea subsp. europaea
Lineage: Eukaryota; Viridiplantae; Streptophyta; Magnoliopsida; Lamiales; Oleaceae
Source: RNAcentral